AUGGGAAAGUUUGAGGGCAAUAUCAGGUCUGGAUGCCUAUAGAUGUUAUGGGCCGCACGCGCGAUACAUUGACAGAGCCAACGAGUUAUUCACAUUGGCCGGAAGGUCUGGGUAAUCUUGUUAAACUCAGUCGUGCUGGGGAUAGAGCAUUGCAAUUAUUGCUCUUCAACGAGGAAUGCCUAGUAAGCGCAUGUCAUCAGCAUGCGUUGAUUACGUCCCUGCCCUUUGUACACGCCGCCCGACGCUACUACCGAUUGAAUGGCUUAGUGAGGACUUGGGAGAGUACAUCGGGGAGCCAGCAAUUUCAAAAGACGGUUCAAACUCUUACAAACUGGUCAUUUUCUUUAAUUUCACU
RNAcentral lists this ribosomal RNA (355 nucleotides) under uncultured fungus. Its description in RNAcentral is "bacterial SSU rRNA". It matches the Rfam family "Eukaryotic small subunit ribosomal RNA", at positions 1434 to 1749 of the family's 1831-position model. Lineage: Eukaryota; Fungi. The record is from RNAcentral.